Molecule: ribosomal RNA, 502 nt
Filed under: bacterium enrichment culture clone ALO1_GLFRUDD03FP09P
Lineage: Bacteria
Description: bacterial SSU rRNA
Rfam family: Bacterial small subunit ribosomal RNA
Source: RNAcentral
GAGUUUGAUCAUGGCUCAGAUUGAACGCUGGCGGCAGGCCUAACACAUGCAAGUCGAGCGGAUGACGGGAGCUUGCUCCUUGAUUCAGCGGCGGACGGGUGAGUAAUGCCUAGGAAUCUGCCUGGUAGUGGGGGACAACGUUUCGAAAGGAACGCUAAUACCGCAUACGUCCUACGGGAGAAAGCAGGGGACCUUCGGGCCUUGCGCUAUCAGAUGAGCCUAGGUCGGAUUAGCUAGUUGGUGGGGUAAUGGCUCACCAAGGCGACGAUCCGUAACUGGUCUGAGAGGAUGAUCAGUCACACUGGAACUGAGACACGGUCCAGACUCCUACGGGAGGCAGCAGUGGGGAAUAUUGGACAAUGGGCGAAAGCCUGAUCCAGCCAUGCCGCGUGUGUGAAGAAGGUCUUCGGAUUGUAAAGCACUUUAAGUUGGGAGGAAGGGCAGUAAGUUAAUACCUUGCUGUUUUGACGUUACCGACAGAAUAAGCACCGGCUAACUCUGU